UACGUAGGGUGCAAGCGUUUAAUCGGAAUCACUGGGCGUAAAGGGCGCGUAGGCGGCGUUUUUAAGUCGGGGGUGAAAGCCUGUGGCUCAACCACAGAAUGGCCUUCGAUACUGGGACGCUUGAGUAUGGUAGAGGUUGGUGGAACUGCGAGUGUAGAGGUGAAAUUCGUAGAUAUUCGCAAGAACACCGGUGGCGAAGGCGGCCAACUGGACCAUUACUGACGCUGAGGCGCGAAAGCGUGGGGAGCAAACAGG
Molecule: ribosomal RNA, 255 nt
Filed under: uncultured bacterium
Lineage: Bacteria
Description: partial 16S ribosomal RNA
Rfam family: Bacterial small subunit ribosomal RNA
Source: RNAcentral